CACAUUUCUUCACAUUUCCUGACCACUUUCAACCCUCACAAUAUUGAAAAUGAAAAAUAAGAGGGAUUUAGGGUAAGAGUACCUGUGACUAUCGGGCUUCACGUUCCCUCUUCUUCUUCUUCAACAUGAACGGCGGCCACCUACCACUCCGAUCAAAUCUCGCCGCUGUGAUUCGUUCGCAUAUCGAUUCCUCCGUCUCAAUCGAUCCCUCUCUGUUCUCUCAAUCUCGAAGCCUCUGAUCUCAUCCCCGAUUCUGUUCUUGACAUCACUCGCUCCUCAUCUCCGCUUGCUCUCUCAUCAUGAACGGCUCGCGACGGAGAAAUUGUUGGUGAGUUAGUUAGAUGGAGGUUUGAAAUCGUUGAAAUCGUUUAACCUAAAUCCUCUUUUUCAAUCAUUCAGUUCUAGCGAGUAGGUUUCUUUCCGAAUUCGCAGACGCUAAUGGCGAAGCCAAGUACCUCAACAUCCUGCAAGAUGUUGCGAACCACAAAGCUCGAUCUGUUGAAAUUGAUCUCGACGACUUAAUGAACUAUAAGGAUCUAGAUGAGGAUUUUUUGACGCGAGUUACUGAGAAUACGAGAAGAUAUGUAGGGAUUUUUGCUGAUGCGAUCGACGAGCUCAUGCCGGAGCCUACUGAGACGUUUGUGGAUGAUGAUCAUGAUAUUUUGAUGACUCAGAGAUCUGAUGAAGGAACUGAAGGUGCUGAUGGUUC
Molecule: long non-coding RNA, 709 nt
Organism: Vicia villosa (hairy vetch)
Lineage: Eukaryota; Viridiplantae; Streptophyta; Magnoliopsida; Fabales; Fabaceae
Exons: 3
Source: RefSeq, a predicted model, not a curated record